CCCCACACAUCUUGGCAACGUUGGGUGGGGCUGGGGCCGGCGUCGCGACGCGGCGAGCGCUGGCUGCACUUGCUCCUCAGUGGAUCACCAGUGGCCGAGCGCGUCAGUUCUUGCGGUGGUGCGUUUUUCUUCUCGCGUCCCGAGUUCGCGCGUGUUGUUGUUCAUGUGUGUCCCACCCUUGGAUUUCCAAUUAUGAGGUGGCACCUGGCGCUUUUCCUGCUUUUCGGGAUAAGGUUUCAGUUUGUGCGGCUCACUUGCGUCUUUGAAUCGGACUUCGGGUUCACUUUGAACUGCGGUUUUAAGAAAUCUGGAUUGUUCCGGUUGCGUAAUUGGGUGGCGUCAAAGGCUAUGUUGGCGUUGGUUUCAGUUUGGGGGAUGAGCUCGGUUUCCGGGAGUCAUUGUCGAAUUUGGAAGCCACCCGACGCCGAUCCGUAGACACCGGACGCAGCGCCAAUCUCCUCGCAUUAUUCGACAAUAGCAAGAAAGAAGGUAAAGACGACGCGUCGGUGUCGAGCCGGUCGUUCAGCCCGCGGGUGCAGGGCUCGAAGCAAGGGUUCCGGACUGCGGCGGCCGCUACGGGGGUGGCGACGGUGCCGCCCUUCAAGCCGAUUGCGGGCGCCGGCGGCCCCGGGAACCUCUCGCGCCCGGCCCGGCUCAGCGGGGCCCCCGCCACAGGGCCCGGCACCGCUGCCGUUCCGGUCCCGUCCUUCCACAAGCUCCCGCCGUCCAUCGCCCAGAUGCCCACCAUCCCGGCCGCCGCCGUCGCUGCCGUCCCGGCUCUCGCCAUCCCUGCCGUUCAGUCCGCCAACCGCAGAUACGCUGUGAGUAUCCCGUUUUCGCCCUUAGACACCAUUCUGGCGCACAGUGGAUUGAGUCAAUUGGCGAGGUGGGACACACUCGAAAAAAACCACAUUGGAUCUAGAGUCCAGACUCUUAAAAACAUCGACAAGAAAAAAUACUCCUGAUUCAAUCGGAUUUUUGCUUAAAUCAAGAGCCAAGCCUCUUAAUUUGAGCGGAUUUCCUUUUGAUUUUAGCAAAAAUCUGAUCGAAUCAAGAGUAUUUUUUCUUGUCAAUGUUUUCAAGAGCCUGGACUCUAGAUCCAAUGUGUUUUUUUUCCUAGUGCAAAAUGUAGAAACCUUAAACGCUUAUAACUCCGUGUAUGCAAUACUUUGAGGUUCUAAAUAUGGUUCCAUUGGUUUUCUCGUGACAUUUCCUGUAGGGGCAUCUCUUGGAAAUUUAAAGGUUGACGAAAUAAACAUCAACAUUUGCAGUUUUAGUAGAAAAUUUA
Molecule: long non-coding RNA, 1288 nt
Filed under: Bemisia tabaci
Lineage: Eukaryota; Metazoa; Arthropoda; Insecta; Hemiptera; Aleyrodidae
Description: lncRNA ENSSWEETPG010249
Source: RNAcentral